AGAGUUUGAUNCCUGGCUCAGGACGAACGCUGGCGGCGUGCCUAAUACAUGCAAGUCGAACGCUGCCCNUGUUCCCCUUCGGGGGAAGAGGUGGCAGAGUGGCGGACGGGUGAGUAACACGUGGGGAACCUACCCAGCAGCGGGGGAUAACACUUGGAAACAGGUGCUAAUACCUCAUAGGCCUUUUUUUCGCCUGGAAGAAAGGGAAAAGGCGCUUUAAGCGUCACUGCUGGAGGGGCCCGCGGUGCAUUAGCCAGUUGGUGAGGUAACGGCUCACCAAAGCAACGAUGCAUAGCCGACCUGAGAGGGUGAUCGGCCACACUGGGACUGAGACACGGCCCAGACUCCUACGGGAGGCAGCAGUAGGGAAUCUUCGGCAAUGGACGCAAGUCUGACCGAGCAACGCCGCGUGAGUGAAGAAGGUUUUCGGAUCGUAAAGCUNCUGUUGUCAGCCAAGAAACAGGAAGAAGAGGGAAUGCUUUUUCUAUGANCGGUAUGCUGACCCAGAAAGCCC
RNAcentral lists this ribosomal RNA (514 nucleotides) under Tetragenococcus muriaticus. RNAcentral's name for it is "bacterial SSU rRNA". It matches the Rfam family "Bacterial small subunit ribosomal RNA", at positions 8 to 493 of the family's 1533-position model. Lineage: Bacteria; Bacillati; Bacillota; Bacilli; Lactobacillales; Enterococcaceae. The record is from RNAcentral.